Molecule: ribosomal RNA, 301 nt
Filed under: uncultured bacterium
Lineage: Bacteria
Description: partial 16S ribosomal RNA
Rfam family: Bacterial small subunit ribosomal RNA
Source: RNAcentral
CAGUAGCCACGGGAAUACGAAGGGUGCAAGCGUUAAUCGGAAUUACUGGGCGUAAAGCGUGCGUAGGCGGUUUGUUAAGUCUGUUGUGAAAUCCCCGGGCUCAACCUGGGAAUGGCAAUGGAUACUGGCAAGCUAGAGUGUGUCAGAGGAUGGUGGAAUUCCCGGUGUAGCGGUGAAAUGCGUAGAGAUCGGGAGGAACAUCAGUGGCGAAGGCGGCCAUCUGGGACAACACUGACGCUGAGGCACGAAAGCGUGGGGAGCAAACAGGAUUAGAUACCCGCGUAGUCCCUGUCUCUUAUAC